GACGAACGCUGGCGGCGUGCUUAACACAUGCAAGUCGAACGGAAAGGCCCUGCUUGCAGGGUGCUCGAGUGGCGAACGGGUGAGUAACACGUGGGUGAUCUGCCCCUUACUUUGGGAUAAGCCUGGGAAACUGGGUCUAAUACUGGAUAGGACCAUGCUGUAGGUGGUGUGGUGGAAAGAUUAGUUUCGGUAAGGGAUGAGCUCGCGGCCUAUCAGCUUGUUGGUGGGGUAAUGGCCUACCAAGGCGUCGACGGGUAACCGGCCUGAGAGGGUGGACGGCCACAUUGGGACUGAGAUACGGCCCAGACUCCUACGGGAGGCAGCAGUGGGGAAUAUUGCACAAUGGGCGCAAGCCUGAUGCAGCGACGCCGCGUGGGGGAUGACGGCCUUCGGGUUGUAAACUCCUUUCAGCCAUGACGAAGCCCUUGUGGUGACGGUAGUGGUAGAAGAAGCACCGGCUAACUACGUG
Molecule: ribosomal RNA, 469 nt
Filed under: uncultured bacterium
Lineage: Bacteria
Description: partial 16S ribosomal RNA
Rfam family: Bacterial small subunit ribosomal RNA
Source: RNAcentral